AUGGCUCCCACUCACUGCACAGCGCCAGCGUGUGUCAUGUCCCAGCUGUGUCUCUGGGGCCCAAGGCCCUUCCUCACGUGGCAACUAUUGUGGCUACUAGUCCAGGAGGCUCAGCCUCUGGAGUGGGUCAAAGACCCGCUCCAGCUGACCUCUAACCCCCGGGGCCUACUGAGCCCUAGUCUUCCUGCUCCUCCCAUCUCCCAUGGGAAUCUCCCCAUGCGUCUACUCCCUCUGCUGACCUGGAGGGCUUUGAUUACGUGGCGUCGCGUCGUCUGCUUCCUCCCAGAUGUCAGCCCCGCCCCAGGAAUCGACUGAAAAUUUGGUUCUGUUCCUGGACACGGAUUCAGCUGGAGAGCUGCCCCCCGGGGUCCAGAGCAGUUCUCGGCUGCACACCAGGAUCUAAAUGACAAGCUGACUCCGAAGAAAAGGCCAACAUUACAAUUUAAACCUGCAGAUGUGGAUGUUACCAUAACUUCAGAGCCUACCAAUGAGACAUCCUCUGAAGUCCACUGAAGAGGUCAGUCCUCCACCACAGGGGAGAUACCAGCUCAGCCAUCAGAGCCACCUGAGAAGGUCAAACCAUCUCCAGUCCUACAGCAGGCCCCAACUCAGCUUUUAGAGCCACCUAAAGAGGUAGAAUCCUCUCCAGUCCAGCAGGCAGUCCCUGCUCAGUCUUCAGAGCCCCCUAGGGUGAUAGAACCCUCUCUGACCCAGCAGAUGGCCCCAUCUUUGCCUCCAGAGUUCCCUCAGUAGGUGGAACCAUCUCUAACUCAGCAAGAGGUUCCAGCUCAGAUUCCAGAGCCCUCUAUGGAGGCAGAACCUUCUCCGACCCAGCAGGAGGCCACAGUUCAGGCUCCAGAGCCCCCUAAGGAGGUAGAAUCUUCAAGCCAGCAGAUGGUCCCAGCUCAGCUUCCAGAGCCACCUAAGGAGGUUGCAGCUCAACCUCCAGCUCAUUAUGAGGUGACAGUUCCAACACCAGGUCAGGAUCAAGCUCAGCAUUGGACAUUGCCCAGUGUCACAGUUCAACCUUUGGACCUGGGACUUACCAUUACUCCAGAACCCACUAAGGAGGUUGAACAUUCUACAGCCCUGAAGAAGGCUAUAGUUCCUCCAAAGCACCCUAAGGUGACACUUCCACAUCCAGACCAGGUUCAGAUUCAGCAUUUACACCUGACUCAAGCCACAGUUCAACCUGUGGACCUGGGGCUUACCAUCACUCCAGAAUCCACUACGGAGGUUGAACUUUCUCCAACCACGCAGGAGACCCCAACUCAGCCUCCUAAGAAAGUUGUACCCCAACUUCCAGUAUAUCAAGAGGUAACAAUUCCAACACCAGGUCAGGAUCAAGCUCAGCAUGGGGCUUCCAUCACUCCAGAACCCACUACAGAGACUGGACAUCUACCGCCCUGGAGAAGAAAGUUACCAAGGAAACUAUAUUUCCUACAUUGAUGGAAAUGUAUGGAAAGCAUACAGUUGGACCAAGAAACUGUUAUCAAGGCAAUAUUUUCCUUUUCCUAGAGAUUUAUCCUGCAAUAAAAUACAGUCUAUUGAAAGACAUACAUUUGAACCCCUACCAUUUUUGCAGUUUAUGUAAGUUACAAAUAUAACUUUAUUGCAUUUGGAAUUUAAAUCUUGGUUGCAAUUUACUAACAGAACUGAGCUUUGGAACAUCUCAGGCCUGGCACAGAAUGCAGUUUUUACACAAGUUAAUUCUCAAUCACAAUCCUCUGACAGCUGUUGAAGAUCCGUAGCUCUUGGAACUGCCGGCAUUAAUAUAUCUCAUAUCAUGAAUGUUUCGGCUUUCUUCUUCAGAUACAUGGGAACAACACAAGUCCCACUUACAACAAUUAAGAACAUUCUCAGGAUGACUGUUGAAUUGGAAAAACUCCUCCAUCCUGAACCCACGGUGGCCCAGCCCACUGCCUACCCUCGAGUUCCGAUCUUACCUAGCCAUAUGGCCUGCUGCCUCUGCCAAUUUAAAAAUAGCAUUGAGGCUGUCUGCAAGACAGUCAAGCUGCAUUGCAACAGUGCAUGUCUGACAAACACCACACAUUGUCGUGAGUCCAAAUUGCCUGGUGAUAAAUUGUUACAUUAUUUUAAGUAUUUGUGCCGUUCCAUUAUCUUUCAUGAUCAAAGCAGUCUCUUUUUUUUGACAGGUGAAGAAGCAUCUGUAGGGAAUCCAGAAAGAGUGUUCAUGAAGGUGUUACAAGCCCAGAAGAAGCACAUGAGCAUUGAGCUGACUACUGAGCCGGAGGCAGCCUCAGACAGCAGUGGCAUCAACUUGUCAGUCUUUGGGAGUGAGCAGCUAGACACUUAUGAUAAGAGUGAUGUUAUCACUGCGCUAAAUUACAUCUUGCCUUAUUUCUCAGCAGGAAAUCUAGAUGCGGAAUCAAUGUUGUUACCAUUCAUUAAACUGAACAGCCUGGCAAAGGUUCAAAGUGUAGGCAAAAACCUGCAGAGAGUGAACAGAGUCCUCAUGGGCCCAAGGAGCAUCCAGAAAAGGCCCUUCAAAGCGGUGGGAAAGCAGAGUAUCAGGAGGGAACAGGGUGCCCAGGCAUUUGGGGAGAAUGCUGCCAAAGAAAAAAGGCUCGGGAGUCCAGCCCCAAGGGAGCUGGAAUAGCCUCACAUAGUGCAGGGGCCCGAGAACGUAGCGGGAAACGCCGUCUACACCAAGCCUUCAUUCACCCAAGAGCAGAAGCCAACAGUCUCCUCUUUGCUGAAACCCUUCUCCAUGGGCAUGCCUUCUGCCUUCCACAACUGCAAAAGCAGGCUAGAGUUAAAAAAUAUGAAGGCUGCUAAACGAGUAGUACAUUCCAGAAAAAAAUACCACUUUCAUAAAACUCACUCCCGUGUGGCCCACAGAACACCCAAGGCCAAAAAGAUUAGAAAAUUGAGAAAGAAAAGUUAUCUCAAUAGACUGAUGCUCGCAAAGAGGCCGCCGUUCUCUGCAGUGAAGAGCCUCAUAAAUUCCCCUUCACAAGGGGCUUUUUCAUCCUCAGGAGACCUGAGUCCUCAAGAAAACCCUUUUCCAGAAGUAUUUGCUCCUUCAGAAUGUUUUAUAGAAAACACUACUGUAAAAAACACAACUGCAAGAAAUGCCUCUGAAGAAAACGUUUUUAUGGAAAACACUACUAUGCCAGAAGGCACCAUCUCUGAAAACACAAACUACAAUCAUCUUCCUGAGGCAGAUUCCCACUAGGACUGCAUUCAACUUAGAGCCAACUGUUAAACAAACUGAGACAAAAUGGGAAUACAACAACGUGGGCACUGACCUGUCCCCCGAGCCCAAAAGCUUCAGUUACCCAUUGCUCUCAUCCCCAGGUGAUCAGUUUGAAAUUCCGCUAACCCAUCAACUACAGUCCGUCAUCCCCAACAACGAUGUGAGAAGCUUCAUUUCUCAUGUUAUCUGGACCUUGAAGACGGACUGCUCCGAGACCUAUGUGCAAGUGACCUGUGCCAAGCUCAUCUCCAGGACAGGCCUCCUGAUGAGGCUUCUCAGUGAGCAGCAGGAAGUAAAGGCGUCCAAGGCAGAAUGGGAUACAGACCAGUGGAAAACUAAGAACUAUAUUAAUGAAAGCACAGAAGCCCAGAGUGAACAGAAAGAGCAGAAGUCGAGUGAGACGAAAGAAGUUCCAGGAUAUGGCUAUAACAACAAACUAAUCUUGGUGAUAUCUGUGACUGUAAUACUAACGAUUUUGAUUCUAAUUUUUUGUCUUAUUGAGGUA
RNAcentral lists this long non-coding RNA (3725 nucleotides) under Homo sapiens (human). Its description in RNAcentral is "non-protein coding lnc-SLC16A6-2:1". The record is from RNAcentral. Lineage: Eukaryota; Metazoa; Chordata; Mammalia; Primates; Hominidae.